GUUCAUUGUUUGUUUAUUAUUCAGGUACUGGAGCUGGUUUUGGUUGGGCUGGAGUUUUUCCGGGUGGUGCUGGUGGACUUUAUCCUGGUGCAGGAGCUGGUUUAGGUGGUGUUGGAGCAGGUGGUGCUGGCAGACUUUAUCCAGGGGCAGGAGGUGUGGGUGUUUUUACACCAGCUCAAGGUAAAGCAGCGAAAUAUGGUGCUGGUCCUGGAGUUACUGGUAUUGGUGGUGUACCAGGCGCAGGUGGACUCUUUCCUGGGGCAGGGGGUCCUGGUGCGCUCUCCCCUGCUCAGGCAAAAGCUGCUAAAUACGGUGCAGGAGUAGUUCCUGGUGGCGCUCGGAUUGUGCCAGGAGCUGGAGGGGUCUAUCCUGGACCGGGAGGUAAAAAAAAAAAAAUCUGUCUGUCUGUACAAAACAUCUUGAAGAAUAUUAAAACAUUAUAAUGGUCAUCAUAGAGUCUCAAAACCAUUUCUUUCUUUCUAAGGUCUUACUCCUGCCCAAGCAAAAGCUGCUAAAUACGGUAAUCAUAUACUCAUAUUUAGAAUCCUUCUUAUUCAGAUAUAGCAUGGUUCUUCAAUUC
Molecule: long non-coding RNA, 580 nt
Filed under: Sinocyclocheilus anshuiensis
Lineage: Eukaryota; Metazoa; Chordata; Actinopteri; Cypriniformes; Cyprinidae
Description: lncRNA (ENSSANG00000036790.1)
Source: RNAcentral